RNAcentral lists this ribosomal RNA (226 nucleotides) under Chromolaena sagittata. RNAcentral's name for it is "partial internal transcribed spacer 2". The record is from RNAcentral. Lineage: Eukaryota; Viridiplantae; Streptophyta; Magnoliopsida; Asterales; Asteraceae.
AUCACGUCGCCCGCAUCAAACGUCCUUGUUUGGAUCGUGGUGUAUGCGGGCGGAGACUGGUCUCCUGUGCCCAUGGGCGCGGUUGGCCUAAAUACGAGUCCGCUUAAGAGUGACGCACGACUGCUGGUGGUUGACUACACGGUCGUCUCGUGUCGUGUGUUUCGAUUCUUAAAGGGAAAAGCUCUUGAAGUACCCUGAUGCGCCGUCUUGUGACGGCCCUUCGAUC